CUGCAGAAGAAGUACCGGCUAACUACGUGCCAGCAGCCGCGGUAAUACGUAGGGUACGAGCGUUGUCCGGAAUUAUUGGGCGUAAAGAGCUCGUAGGUGGUUGGUCACGUCUGCUGUGGAAACGCAACGCUUAACGUUGCGCGUGCAGUGGGUACGGGCUGACUAGAGUGCAGUAGGGGAGUCUGGAAUUCCUGGUGUAGCGGUGAAAUGCGCAGAUAUCAGGAGGAACACCGGUGGCGAAGGCGGGACUCUGGGCUGUAACUGACACUGAGGAGCGAAAGCAUGGGGAGCGAACAGGAUUAGAUACCCUGGUAGUCCAUGCCGUAAACGUUGGGCACUAGGUGUGGGGGACAUUCCACGUUCUCCGCGCCGUAGCUAACGCAUUAAGUGCCCCGCCUGGGGAGUACGGUCGCAAGGCUAAAACUCAAAGGAAUUGACGGGGGCCCGCACAAGCGGCGGAGCAUGCGGAUUAAUUCGAUGCAACGCGAAGAACCUUACCAAGGCUUGACAUACACCAGACCGGCCUGGAAACAGGUCUUCCCCUUUGGGGUUGGUGUACAGGUGGUGCAUGGUUGUCGUCAGCUCGUGUCGUGAGAUGUUGGGUUAAGUCCCGCAACGAGCGCAACCCUCGUUCUAUGUUGCCAGCACGUGAUGGUGGGAACUCAUAGGA
This 670-nucleotide ribosomal RNA is filed under the name Brevibacterium sanguinis. RNAcentral's name for it is "bacterial SSU rRNA". It matches the Rfam family "Bacterial small subunit ribosomal RNA", at positions 479 to 1146 of the family's 1533-position model. Lineage: Bacteria; Bacillati; Actinomycetota; Actinomycetes; Micrococcales; Brevibacteriaceae. The record is from RNAcentral.